GACGAACGCUGGCGGCGUGCUUAACACAUGCAAGUCGAACGGAAAGGCCCUGCUUUUGUGGGGUGCUCGAGUGGCGAACGGGUGAGUAACACGUGAGUAACCUGCCCUUGACUUUGGGAUAACUUCAGGAAACUGGGGCUAAUACCGGAUAGGAGCUCCUGCUGCAUGGUGGGGGCUGGACAGUUUCGGCGGCUGGGGAUGGACUCGCGGCUUAUCAGCUUGUUGGUGGGGUAGUGGCCUACCAAGGCUUUGCCGGGUAGCCGGCCUGAGAGGGUGACCGGCCACAGUGGGACUGAGGUACGGCCCAGACUGCUACGGGAGGCAGCAGUGGGGAAUAUUGCACAAUGGGCGGAAGCCUGAUGCAGCAACGCCGCGUGCGGGAUGACGGCCUUCGGGUUGUAAACCGCUUUCGCCUGUGACGAAGCGUGAGUGACGGUAAUGGGUAAAGAAGCACCGGCUAACUACGUG
RNAcentral lists this ribosomal RNA (468 nucleotides) under uncultured bacterium. RNAcentral describes it as "partial 16S ribosomal RNA". It matches the Rfam family "Bacterial small subunit ribosomal RNA", at positions 28 to 507 of the family's 1533-position model. The record is from RNAcentral.